GUAAGGACAACAAUAUGGACUGUGGAUAUUAAAUGCUUCUAAAUGCUUCUAAUAAAAAAGCAGUAGGAUGAAUUCACACUAGCUGGAUGUGAUAUAGUGGAAAGCCUUAGGAACCUGGUCAGUUUUGGACGUAUGCCAUGACUGAUAUGGUGAUCUUGUGCUAUGUACAGAGUGCCUACAGUUCAGGACUUCUGAAAUAAAAAGGCAACAUGGAGGAAUGCAUGAACGUAGCGAUUGAAUUUUGGAAGCUUGGAAGAUGCCCUGCUAAACAUGGCUUGUGAAAGAAAAGGAUGAGCAGUAAAAUAAAAUGUAAA
Passer domesticus (house sparrow) is the source of this 314-nucleotide long non-coding RNA. RefSeq lists it as uncharacterized. NCBI's taxonomy places the organism in Eukaryota, Metazoa, Chordata, Aves, Passeriformes, Passeridae. The record is from RefSeq and is a predicted model, not a curated record. The transcript is spliced from 3 exons.